Molecule: long non-coding RNA, 17639 nt
Filed under: Sorghum bicolor (sorghum)
Lineage: Eukaryota; Viridiplantae; Streptophyta; Magnoliopsida; Poales; Poaceae
Source: RNAcentral
UGCUCUCUCUCUCUAUUUUCUUUGAUGCAAUUUAGAGAGAAAGAGCAGUGCGAACUAAAAAAAAAAGAUAAUCGGGAGAUGAUUAAAAAAAAGAUACAUAGACAUAUAAAGUAAAGGGAUGUAUAUAUUAUUCCUAUAUAUAUCAUCUAUCUAUGAAAAAAGUAAACAGAGUUCGUUUUUGGGUUCCCCGAAGCCCCGAAUGGAUUGGAUCGUUUCUGCUUCUGCCAACGAAAUGAAGGCCUCGCCCCUUCCGAAUGCUUCUCCGAUCCUGAACGCGAAGAGAAUAAGAUGCAGCUCCCCCUCCCUCUGUCUUUUUCCGCUUUGCUAAUCUUCCCCUCUAACGCGGGCCGGGCUUAGGCGGGCGCGGGAGGAAGAAAGAAAGUCGAAGAGCGUCUUCUCCUUUGUCCUUUUUUCAGUGCAACACAGGAAAGCACCCUCUUUUUGUAAUCUCUGCAGCUUCCCAGAGGCUUUUUUUUGUAUUGAACGCAUGGCGUAGCUAGGACCCCCCAAUCAUGUUUGAGCCUAUGUUCACCCGGGGCUCAAAAAGGAGAAUUCCGGAAUGCCUGCCGACGUUCAGAUAAGGUGCAUAUCCCUUACCACUAAAGGAAAGGCUCGACGAAGGGGGGGAUAUUUGCAGGGUAAGGAAAACGCUUUCGGAGAUUGAGAUGUCGAUUUGUUUUUCAUCGAAAAGGAAGAAGGCCGAGGGGAUAGCAGCCUUCCUUCGGGCUUUGCCUGCCGACGUUCUAAUAAAGAAUUCCGGCUCGGCCCGGGAAAGCGCUGGCAACAACAUAAAGAAAGGGGUCCAUGUAGCUGCUGCGCCCGCCCACUGAGCAGCAGGUUCGGCAUCUACUACAAAAGAGAGAAUCCACUUCAGAUAACCACGUCUCUGCUAGGCAGCGUGUGGAAUGGCCGAGAGCGGACCAAAUGGAUAUAUAAUCCAAGCCGAGAGUGGAGUUACGUGAACAGCCGUCUGAUGGAAAACAACUUUCACGUUCGGUUCAGAGAGCACUUUUUUCGUUGAGAAUAAGUCCUUCCCUUUUGUGUGAAUUCCCCAGCGGCGAAUUAACCAACUUGUGGGGCCCUAUCUAUUCAAUCUCUCGAGCCCCAAGAAAACCCCCCUCUCCCUCGGACUCAAUCUCUCUUUUGACUCUAUAUAUGUGGGCACCUGAUAUCUAUGAGGGUUCACCCACCCCGGUGACAGCAUUCCUUUCUAUUGCGCCUAAAAUCUCUAUUUCUGCAAAUAUGUCACGUGUUUCUAUUGUUGCUUCCUAUGGGGGUACAUUACAACAAAUCUUCUUUUUCUGCAGCAUUGCUUCUAUGAUCUUAGGAGCACUGGCCGCCAUGGCCCAAACGAAAGUAAAAAGACCUCUAGCUCAUAGUUCGAUUGGACAUGUAGGUUAUAUUCGUACUGGUUUCUCAUGUGGAACCAUAGAAGGAAUUCAAUCACUACUAAUUGGUAUAUUUAUUUAUGCAUCAAUGACGAUAGAUGCAUUCGCCAUAGUUCCAGCAUUACGGCAAACCCGUGUCAAAUAUAUAGCGGAUUUGGGCGCUCUAGCCAAAACGAAUCCUAUUUUGGCUAUGACCUUCUCCAUUACAAUGUUCUCAUACGCAGGAAUACCCCCGUUAGCCGGCUUUUGUAGCAAAUUCUAUUUGUUCUUCGCCGCUUUGGGUUGUGGGGCUUACUUCCUAGCCCCAGUGGGAGUAGUGACUAGCGUUAUAGGUCGUUGGGCGGCCGGAAGGUUGCCAUGAGUAAGGUUGGGAGACCGAAGGCUGUUUUCCGUGCACCGGACACGUAGCUUACCGAAUCAGUUGCAACACAGAUGGGAAUGCAUGCUACGAAAGACAGGGUCGAGUCUGAUACAUCAACCGUCGACUCCAUAUCCUUGUACGAGUCCACAAUCACUACACGAGAUGAACCUGGGUUUGGUGAAUGGAAGUUGGCCUUAGGUGUAAUAGGACUCCCAGUUACUGCGCGCGAUCGUAUACUGAGGUGCUCCCCGUCGGUUGUUGGAACGACGCGAGCCGGGCCGGGCCUCGAUUCCUUUCAUAAAGAUGAAGGGACAGAGGUGACUAAUUCCCCAUCUCAUUUGGGGCGGAAAACGAAUCGACAUCUCGAUGUGAUACAGCCCUUUCCAUUUUCGUUGGGAAAGAACGGCGAAGUCCAUCCGAACCCUCCAAUGAAGAAAUAAGAGGAGAGCAAAGCGCCAAUGGCGCGCGAAGCGCAUGCGGAAGGGGCACGGAGAAAUAAAGAAGUGUGGAGGAGAAGCAGCCGAGCUCAUUCCCUUCGCUUCCUGGGCCCAAAGCAGUGCUUUGUUUCCUGGCCAAAUCAAGGAUUUGGGGCUGAUUGCAAAAGAUAUCUGAAUAGAAAGAUAGAUCCAUCCAUCUAUCCAGAUAUCUAAAAAAGAAUCGAUUUUGAUUUCAUGAAACCUUUGAUUCAAAGAACUGCGCUUAGCCCCCCCGCUCAUGAAACGGCUCUGCUGCAAUGGAUGGCAGAGGGUCCGUAGUACCCGAAGCACUGGAGUGAUCCAGUAGCCGGGAAGGGGCCUAGAAGUGCCUACUACUACACCACACUACACUUGGCUCUACACAUUUACAGAGCUUACCCCUGUCCAGUGUCUGGCAGAACGUUGGGGGCUUCAAUCAUCGACUCGUUAUCCCCAUCUCAGCCCAGGCUAACGGAGCCUGACUUAUUCAGGGGAGAGAGUGGAGCCUAUCGAAGCACUCUUGAGAGUAAGAUCCUUGGCUCCUCUUCAUUCUCUACAGGGGUCUCUGCCCACAUGGAAGCGGGGCAGAGAUGGAUAAGAUCAAACACGGGAAUAAGAAGCAUUUAAAAUGCCUUUUUGAUCAUUUUUAUAGAGGGGGAUGGAUAAAGUGGGCAAAACAGACUCACAUUUUUCAAUCGAAAAGAUGGGUUCCUUUUUCGUCUCGACAAAGAAAGAAUCAUCUUGAGCUCCUAACCCCUUCGUAGGGCCGUGUAUAGUAAGUGAUCCGAACCUGCCCGGAGCGAGCCCCCCUUAGAGGCAAGUGAAGUUGGUGAGCCGUAUGAUGGGCAACUAUCUCCUGCGGUUCGGAGAGGACUCAGCUGUUAGUUAGUACCCCCUUGGUUUCGGGGUGGACCCUUUCACUCUAUUUUAUUAUAUACGCUUAGCGAAAAGAAUGUUUUUUGAUAGACCUAGGACAUGGAUUCUAUAUGAACCAAUGGAUCGUGACAAGUCGUUACUACUAGCAAUGACUUCCUCUUUCAUUACUUCAUCCUUUCCAUAUCCCUCUCCCUUGUUCGAUCUUACUCAUCAAAUGGCACUCAGUUCAUAUCUGUAAAUUCGAUCAUUUACAAGGUUCAAAGAAAGGGUGGACUGCAGGUAAGCACUAAUUCUCUGCAUUUCCGUGAUUCAAAAACAAGGGCGUACGUAGCCCAUUGUAGAUUCCAGCCGAGAAGAUUAAGGAAUUGUGACAGCAACCAUGUUACUUGCUAAAUUGUGCCUAUAUCUACUCCAAAACAGGAGGCAUUCAUCUAUUCAUUCAAAUACUACAUAUAGUGAGGUUAGCCAUGUUAUACGCUGCUUACUAAAAGGGGGUUACACCUUCUCUCGCAGGCGUUGGUCAAUACGGGAUCCUACCAAGCCAGAUAAAUUAUGGCCGAUAGGCGCUUUGGAUGCUGUCAUAGUCGAGGCAAUGGCCCGCUUGCUUUGUUUGGAAAUGGACUCGAUAUACCAUCUAAAUUCCAGAGAGUAUGGGGUAGCGAGGGGUGCUAGGUCUUUCUUCGCAAGCGUUUCCCGAUGGCCUGAGAUGGCUUGGAUGGUGAAGUUUUCAAUCGUUGAGUGCAGAUCAGGGAUAGAUCACCACCUACUGGGUAAUUUUCUUAGAGAGCAUCUUGGUGAGGAAAACUCUGGGUUUGUGGAUUUGGUUCUGAUAUUUUUGGUGCGGGGAAAAAAAUACAGAUGCCAAUCUAUAGGUAUACCGCAAGACACCUCUAUCUCCCAAGUUCUAAUCCAAUGUUAUCUUCACCAGCUUGACAAGAUCUUAAAAGAGGUGUGGUACUUCUGAACAGCCUUUGAAGGUGUACUAUGCUAGGUAUGCGGACACAAUCUUGUUAGGCAUUCCACGAAUUCAAAAUUUCUUUAAUGCCGCUAGAGCUAAAGAGCAUGCGCGAACCAUACUCAAAAAUUAUUGCGAUAAGUUAGACCUCGAUGUCAGCUGGGAGGAGAUUACCUCUGAGAAACUUCUCAUUUUUCUUGGUGGGAAAAAAAAGUUUGACAGGGUUGCUUGUCUCUUUUACAGAUAGUGGGGGCAUCAAAGUUAGGAUUCCUUUAAAGAUGUGGGGGAAAAGUAUUAGCACUGGUAGACUGGUCCAGGAGUUUAGGGGUGGCCUUAACCGUCUCACAAUGGCAAACUUCCUCAAGCUACUCAAUGAACACGUUGAGGCCUACCUACGCACUUCUUUCCAAUAUCCUCUAUCUCAAAAUCAAGUCGUUACGCAUUUCUCGCUUCCGUUAAAAACAAGGAAAUGCAACGAAAAAAUAGGACGAUUACGGAACUUUUUCUGUCCCCAACUUUUCCCACAUUUAUUCGUUUACUUUUUCGUAUCACUAAUUCAGGAAAGUCCCUCUAUGGAGGACUGAUGUUCUCCGUUUUACGGAUCCAAAAGUGGGUAACGCAUUGCGAUCUCUAGAUUUUAUGGCUGAUGCUUAUAAUAUGCCCGCUGCAGAAGCGAAACCUGUUGCCAUCGUCAUUUCAAUCACAAUUAAGGGAGACCGAACGGGUUCAAGGCAUUGGGCAGAAUGAACGCUUUUUCCUCUCCUUUAUCCGAAGCUGUUGGAUUUCUACCCUUAACCAGUACGACGAUAGGAAAGAUAAGUUGAUAAGCGAACUCAGAAAAGGAUCAAUUCCAGAAGAAGAGACCUCGACUCUUAGUUUAGUAGAGUAUAGUCCACGGUGAACGAACGAGUCCCUAGGAUAAGUGAAAUUGGUAGGUCGAGCUAAGCCAGAUGAUUAGUAAUCAAGAUUAGACCAAAACAACUACCGGGGAAAUCCUCAACGUGAUAAAAUACUAUGAGAUGAAAGAUGCAAAUGGCAAGUCCUCAAUGUGGACGAUCCCCAGAUAUACUUCUGCUCUUCUGGGAAAUUAGAUGGCAAAUAAGCAUUCGUCAGGAAGGAGGGACGGACUUUGCUUUGGCUAAGGAUGGGGAUCAGGAAUUUUAAAAUCCUACUCUUUAUCAUAGCCAUCCCUUAGAUUAUAUAUAAUGAAGAAGAAAGGAGUGAUUCCUCGAGUAGAUUUAUGUUUCUGCUGAAUGAAUAAAUAUGAUAUGAGAUGGAGGGUCACACUUACGAUGGCACGCACCGCACUUCGAGAGGAAGGGGUCUUCGGUUCGCAUUCUUUUCAUCGUCGACAACGGUUCCUAGCGCUAGUUUGCGAAAAAUCCCUUGCUUCUUCGGUUCAAACAGGAGGAGAGGAGUACGCAUCCCGUGCCAACUACAUAAUGCCUGAUGGCCAAACAAGGCUUCUGACUACGAAAGACACCACCCCAGCAGGGAAAGGCGUGAAGCGUAAAAAGCAGCUAAUCUGGAAGUCCGGUAGUAAUCGAAGUAAUCCGUCAAGGCGAGCCAAAGAAGGGUCUCAGGAACCGAUAAAUCUGAGAAUUGGCAAUCCAGAAGUGGGUGUCGGAAAAGAAGAGACAAGACUUUCCCUCAUUCAUUCCUUAGAUUAGGACGGGGAAGCUUCCUAGAGAGUAGUUAACCCGGGUUAGCUUUGAUGGACUACUUACUGGCGCACGGUAUUCAUAUGAGAAAAGGUUGUUCGUGGAUAACAGUUGUAUUUCUUUACUUGACCCGUACUUCCUUCCCUUAACCUGAUCCAGCUAGUCUUUCCUAAGAGAUAGGAAGCCGAGAAACUAAACAGGGGAUAGCUAUCGUAUCGAAAGAGAAGCAUCGAAAGUAUAGAACCCCGGAGCGAGGGGAAGGUCGGAUCCUUGACCGAGAGGAGGCCAUCCCGAGUUGGUAAGAGGUUGGAAAAGAGGAAAGCAGCUACCCGACCGCGCUAGUUGCUCAAUCCGUGGCUUGUGAUACUAAAGAAACCAAGCAAGAAAACGGAUGCUAUGCUAGUUAGCGCUACGAGCAAUCAAACGGAUAUGCUCAAAGGAAAGAACGGACAUUUCUACGAGUGAACUCGCUAAAGCUGAAGAUCCACCAUCCAAUUUAGGCAUUGGGCAGAACUCUCUCAAUCCAGGAACUAGCUCCUAUCUCGAUGAUUCCAUUUCUCUUUUUCAGAGUUAGCUUCUUUCCUAUGGUCAAGAGUACUCUUGUUUCCUAGUCGAGGGAUAAUCAAGUCAUUUCGAAAGGGGAUUUAUCCGUUCCCCUAGCCAUCGAGCAACUGCGAGAAACACCGCGCCCGUGCCCCCGUCGCUCGCCGGAGCAGCCGUGCGUGGCGUACCAAUUUCUUAUCUGGUGGAUCUUGUCUGUUCUUUCGAAAGUGUUUCUACAAACGAGUGAGGUAAACCCAUCUCGGUCGAAUAAUUCGUAUCUUUAGACCAUUCAGAGCCGUUUGCAUUAAGUGUUGGGAUUUUUUUUGUUGUCAUUACCCUCAACUUAAUUGCCGUCCACCUCUUGCCGUGUUAUUGGCUAGAGAAAGACAACCGAUUGUACUACUACAGUGUUGAGUACCCCAGUUGCUCCGCGGGUGAUUAUGCCCUAAAUUAUCAGGAGUGGUGGAAAAAUAUGGGUGCGUAUAUUUCCCGACAAACCGGUUACAAUAAGACCCACAGAAACACGUAUGGGCUCGGGAAAGGGAUCCCCCGAAUAUUGGGUAGCCGUUGUUAAACCAGGUCGAAUACUUUAUGAAAUGAGCGGAGUAUCCGAAACUGUAGCUAGAGCAGCUAUCUCUAUAGCUGCCAGUAAAAUACCCAUACGAAGUCAAUUUCUUCGAUUAGAGAUAUAGAACCCCAAAAAGGAGUAUUGAAGAUAAAAAACCCCUGGUUUUUCUUUCUGGAAAGACAAUAUUUCUUUCAUCCUUUUGCAUUGAAAUAACAAAUGGAAAUCCAAAUAAUAUGAUUCAACCUCAGACCCUUUUAAAUGUAGCAGAUAACAGUGGAGCUCGAAAAUUGAUGUGUAUUCGAGUCAUAGGAGCCGCUGGUAAUCAGCGAUAUGCUCGUAUUGGUGAUGUUAUUAUUGCUGUAAUCAAAGACGCAGUGCCCCAAAUGCCUCUAGAAAGAUCCGAAGUAAUUCGAGCUGUAAUUGUACGUACACGUAAAGAAUUCAAAGGCGACGACGGUAUAAUAAUACGCUAUGAUGACAAUGCAGCAGUUAUCAUUGAUCAAAAAGGAAAUCCAAAAGGAACUAUAGUUUUUGGCGCGGUUGCCGAAGAAUUAAGAGAAUUGAAUUUUACUAAAAUAGUUUCAUUAGCUCCUGAAGUAUUAUAAAUACUAGUAGACGAGAUAUAGAUCAAAGAAAAAAUUAGUAGAUUGUGUCUCACGUAUAUGCUUUAAAAUCCUAAAUUUAAAGAAAAGGGAAAACAUGUUGAUUAUAGAAAAAUUAGGAGGAACCUAGAAUUAGAGUCUUAUGGGCAAGGACACUAUUGCUGAUUUACUAACCUCUAUAAGAAACGCAGACAUGAAUAAAAAAGGAACUGUUCGAGUAGUAUCCACAAAUAUUACCGAAAACAUUGUGAAAAUACUUCUACGAGAGGGUUUUAUUGAAAGUGUUCGGAAACAUCAGGAAAGUAACAGAUAUUUCUUGGUUUCAACUUUGCGACAUCAAAGGAGAAAGACUAGAAAGGGAAUAUAUAGAACUAGAACCUUUUUAAAGCGUAUCAGCCGACCUGGCUUACGAAUUUAUGCCAACUAUCAAGGAAUUCCUAAGGUUUUGGGCGGAAUGGGAAUUGCUAUUCUUUCUACUUCUCGAGGUAUAAUGACAGAUCGAGAAGCUCGACUAAACAGAAUUGGGGGAGAAGUUUUAUGUUAUAUAUGGUAAUGGCCCCACCUAUAGUACCCAAAUUCUAUCUCGAACUUCCUAUUUUGAAAAUAAAAAUUGAAAAAUAGGAGAAAAAUAUAUGACAGAAAAAAAAAAAUAGGAGAGAAAAAAAACCCGAGAGAAGCAAAAGUAACUUUCGAAGGUUUAGUUACGGAAGCCCCACCCAACGGAAUGUUCCGCGUUCGCCUAGAGAAUGACACGAUCAUCCUGGGCUAUAUUUCAGGAAAGAUCCGGUCUAGCUCUAUACGAAUACUGAUGGGGGAUAGGGUCAAAAUUGAAGUAAGUCGUUAUGAUUCCAGCAAAGGUCGUAUAAUUUAUAGACUUCCCCAUAAGGAUUCGAAGCGUACCGAAGACUCGAAGGAUACUGAAGAUUUGAAGGAUACCAAAGAUUCAAAGGAUUAGGUUUUUCUGGGAACUUCCAAGUUUAUAAAUUUAAGUGAAGAGACUUAUUUUUUCCAAAAGAAUAGAUUCAUAGUUUAAGAAAGGAAUACCUAUAUAUGAAAAUAAGAGCUUCCGUUCGUAAAAUUUAAAAUGUCGACUGAUUCGCAGGCGUGGGCGAAUUAGAGUCAUUUGUUCCAAUCCGAAGCAUAAACAAAGACAGGGGUAAUCUUUCGAAAAAGAAGCUUUUCUUUCUAUUCUAAUAAAGUAAAAAAAAAGUACCCACUGAAAUGUCCAAAUUGCAAAUAAAAAAAAUGAAAGUAAAGGAUAUAUUUUAACCUGAAACGGAUAUCUUUGUAUCUUUUUUCUUUUUGUUAUUUCUAACUCAUAUUUAUGAGAUAAUAAAAUAUGACAAAAGCUAUACCAAAAAUAGGUUCACGUAAGAAAGUGCGUAUUGGUUUGCGUAGGAAUGCCCGUUUUAGUUUACGGAAGAGUGCACGUAGAAUAACAAAAGGGGUUAUUCAUGUUCAAGCCAGUUUCAACAAUACCAUUAUAACCGUUACAGACCCACAAGGUCGGGUCGUUUUCUGGUCCUCCGCAGGUACUUGUGGAUUCAAAAGCUCAAGAAAAGCAUCACCCUAUGCUGGUCAAAGAACAGCAGUAGAUGCUAUUCGUACAGUGGGUUUGCAACGAGCAGAAGUUAUGGUAAAAGGUGCUGGUAGCGGAAGAGAUGCCGCAUUACGAGCCAUUGCUAAAAGUGGUGUACGGUUAAGUUGUAUACGCGAUGUAACACCUAUGCCGCAUAAUGGAUGUCGACCUCCUAAAAAAAGACGUCUGUAAAAAAAAAUGAAACCGCUUUCAAGAGAAAUAAACGAUUCAAUGAUCAAAUAAUAAUACUAGUCGUCUGUUAUGGUUCGAGAAGAGAUAACAGGAUCCACUCAAACACUAGAGUGGAAGUGUGUUGAAUCAAGAGUAGAUAGUAAACGUCUUUAUUAUGGUCGUUUCAUUCUGUCUCCGCUUAGAAAAGGUCAAGCGGAUACUGUCGGUAUUGCCUUGCGAAGAGCUUUACUUGGAGAAAUAGAAGGAACAUGUAUCACACGCACCAAAUUUGGGAACGUGCCACAUGAAUAUUCCACAAUAGUAGGUAUUGAAGAAUCCAUACAAGAAAUUUUACUAAAUUGGAAAGAAAUUGUAUUGAGAAGUAAUCUCUAUGGAGUUAGAGACGCAUCAAUUUGCGUCAAAGGUCCUAGAUACAUAACCGCUCAAGAUAUAAUCUUACCGCCUUCCGUAGAAAUCGUUGAUACGACACAACCUAUAGCUAACUUGAGAGAGCCCGUUGAUUUCUGUAUUGAGUUACAGAUCAAGAGAGAUCGCGGAUAUCAUACGGAACUCAGAAAGAACUCUCAAGAUGGAAGUUAUCCUAUAGAUGCUGUAUUCAUGCCUGUUCGAAAUGUGCAUUAUAGUAUUUUUUCUUGUGGGAAUGGAAAUGAAAAAACACGAGAUACUUUUUUUAGAAAUAUGGACGAAUGGAAGUUUAACUAAAGAAGCGCUUUAUGAAGCUUCUCGUAAUUUGAUUGAUUUAUUUCUUCCUUUUCUACACACAGAGGAAGAGGGCACUAGUUUCGAAGAAAAUAAAAACAGGUCCCCUUUUAACCUUUCAAAAAAGAUUCACUAAUCUAAAGAAAAACAAAAAAGGAAUUCCAUUGAAUUGUAUUUUUAUUGAUCAAUUAGAAUUGCCUUCUAGAACGUAUAAUUGUCUCAAAACAAUAUACAUACACUAUUGGACCUUUUGAGUAAGACUGAAGAAGAUCUUAUGCGAAUUAAUAGUUUUCGUAUGGAAGAUGGAAAACUGAUAUGGGACACUCUAGAGAAGCAUCUCCCAAUUGAUUUACCUAAGAACAAGUUCUCGCUUUAAAUCAUUGCAAUUUUAUCCUCUUCUUCUUUUUUGAGUUAGAAUAAAAAGAAAAAAGAAAGCAAUUUUGCAUCUUUGGCACAAUCUAUAUUUUCGCGAAAUGGAUCAUAAUAAAAUAGAUUUUAGGUAUCUAGGGAAGAUUCACUUGGAAGUAACUAUUUCCUAGAUACCCAUGCAGGGGACUUCGCGGUGGAAUGAAUCAACUCGAAAAAUCCCUAAACUAAAAAAGACCUAAAGUUAAGGAUUUAUCAAUGGGUAAUGUUGCUCCAAUACCUAACCAAAGAGCUACUGCAGUACCGAUUAAAAAAACGGUCGUAGCUACUGGGCGACGAAAUGGAUUUUGGAAUUUAUUUACAUUCUCUAGAAAGGGUACUGCGCCCGUUGGCACAGAAACCAUUAAGAGAACGCCCAAUAACUUAUUGGGUACUGUACGGAGUAUUUUAAAUACGGGAAAGAAGUACCACUCGGGUAAUAUUUCCAAAGGAGUUGCAAACGGAUCCGCCGGUUCACCAAUCAUUGACGGCUCUAGAACCGCUAAACCUACAUUACACGCAAUAGUACCUAGAAUUACUACUGGAAAAAUGUAUAAAAGAUCGUUGGGCCACGCGGGUUCCCCAUAAUAAUUAUGUCCCAUCCCUUUAGCUAAUUUUGCUCUUAAUACAGGAUCAUUUAAGUCAGGUUUCUUUGUUAUUGGGAUAGGUGAAUUCUUUAGGAUCCAUCCCCCAAAGGAACCGGACAUGAGAAUUUUUCAUCAUCCGGCUCGAGCAAGAAUGAAAGAAAUAAGACCGUGGAGGAUCCACAAUAGAAUAGGGUAUAUAAUGACUCAAUGACUCAAGGUAAGAAAAGCUUUAUCAAAUUAUCUUUUCCGAAGUUGCGCCUAUAACUACUCAUUGAAAAGAAUCCUAUUCUUAUGCUUAAAUGCUCAAUAUCCAAGUGGGCUUACAAAUUUGAUCAUGAUCAAUUGCUUUGUGGAUUGUCUCUUGAUUAGUUGGUGUUUAUCCCCUCGAUAUCGCAAGUUUCUUAUGUCCAAACAAAGUAUUUACUUGUUACUAAUAAAAAAUUUAAAAGUUUAGCCUGCGUUCUUCCUUAGAUCCCUUCUUUUACUCCGAUAGUAUUGCGGAUCAAAAUCGAUGCAAAGAAAAUGAAUGCAUUUCCAUACUAUAAUAAAAAGUCAGUAUAAUAAAAAUAGAAUUGGAUCAUAUCACAUGACUUAUUCCAUUUAUACUCUAUAGGAUCUUACGGAGCCUGUUCAUGGAUGACAUGGUUGGGGUAUGAUCAUAGAAAAUAUUCUCCUCGAGUGAACCAGCCUAUCCUUCCUAGAUAGGGGACUUACGUGUUGAUUGGAUGCGGAGACACCUUUGGUCGUGAAUUCUAAUGUGGCAGAUCCAAUUCUCUAUCUGCAUGGCCAAAUCAAUAAUUCAAGUCACACACUCCCAUAAUCCGCCUUAUUUUCUUUCGUAAAAUUCACUUCAACUAUUUGUAUAAGUAUAAAAAUACUUCGAAGUUGAAGAGAAGUAUCCAAAUGACAUGUCUUAUUUUACAAUAACCCAUGUUUGUAGCAAUGAAAUACCACAACCUACCCGAUAUGAUAUAUUAGAAUUAGAAUUCUCUAUGAUAUGCCUCCCCUAUAAAGGACCCGAAAUACCUUGCUUACGUAUCAUUGGAAAGUGCAUUAACAUAAAUACGGCAGUAAGCAGAGGUAGUACAAAGGUAUGUAAACUAUAAAAACGAGUCAAAGUGGAUUGGCCCACACUAGCACUUCCACGAAAUAAUUCCACUAAAGGGGACCCUAUUACCGGAAUAGCUUCGGGUACACCUGUAACAAUUUUGACUGCCCAAUAACCAAUUUGAUCCCAAGGCAAAGAAUAACCAGUUACACCAAAUGAUGCAGUCAAUACAGCCAAAACCACGCCUGUGACCCAACACGGGGUUUUCAAAAUCCACCUGUGAGAUACACACGAAAUACGUGCAGGAUCAUCAUUAGAACCAUCAUACUUGCUGACCAUCGAUGAACCGAUCGGAUUAACCAACCAAAGUUGGCCUCCGUCAUUAUAUAUUGAACGGAGGAAAAAGCCUCUGUAACGGUUGGUCGGUAGUAAAAAGUCAUAGCAAAACCGGUAGCGACUUGUACUAGAAAACAAGUAAGUGUAAUUCCCCCUAAACAAUAAAAUAUGUUGACAUGAGGAGGAACAUAUUUACUAGUUAUAUCAUCCGCAAUUGCCUGAAUCUCAAGACGUUCUUCAAACCAAUCAUAUACUUUAUUGAGAUAGGUAACUAGCCCGACUCCCCCUCCGAGAACCGUAUAUGAAAAUUUCAUCUCGUACGGCUCAAGCAGAAAUACACAAAUUUUCAACGGAUAUUAGAAAAAAAGGUUCAAAACUCCAUCAGCCACGGUAUUGGAUCGAUUUGCCUUGAAGAUAUGAAAUAAGAAAAAUCCAGUAUCGACAGGCCUAGUUCUUUUCCUUUGCUUAUGCAGGGCAAGAAUUUGUAGAGUUCAAUCAGUACAAUAAGAAAUCAAAAGUAUUUUGUGGGUCAGGCGACACCCAGAUUUGAACUGGGGAUAAAGGAUUUGCAGUCCCCUGCCUUACCGCUUGGCCAUGCCGCCAAAUCCGAUCCAAAAUAGAGAAGAGAAAAAUCUUAUUCAUACACAUUCAUUUACUAAUUCUUUAUCGUAGGAGGGGAUUACUAAACCCUUACACUUCCAAUGAUAUAUCAGGCUAGCCCCUUACUUACUAUGGUGUAUGGAAGUAGACCGUAUCGAGAUGAUAUAUGGAACUAAACUAUCAUUAUUAUUUAAGCAUUUCUUAGGAUGCAUCCCAAAUAGAUAGAUGCAUUCCAAGAUCCUAUUCGCUAUCCCUCAGAUAGAGGACAGUCGAGGAAGAAGACACUGGUUGCUCUGGUUAAUAGGAUAACCCUUCUUGUCUUGUAUCGGGGAAGGAUCCGCUGACUAAUUACUAGGUGGUGGGCCUGUAAAGCAAACUAAGAGCGGGGAAGCUCCAUCGAUUCUCAAAGAUCUGGUUGUUGAUAUUGGCAUUGGCCAACAACGAAUAUUAUUGUUUCCGUCCUUGCCUUCGGACUAGGAUUGUUCCUUCUUUCCCUGCAUCCUGUUUGCUUUAUCUCGCUGCUUCUUCUGCUUAUCCUUACUUUCGGUCAAUAAGACAUACUUAACUAGAACUAGGGGCGUACUAUACUUGUCCUCACGGACCAACGUUCUAUCUAUACCCAGGUUAGGCGGAGCGGGAGGAGCUGAUUGAGAAGAGAGGUCCCCUAUCUCUGUCGGUUAGUGAAAUCCGGGUGAAAUGCGAUAUAGGUUCUUCCUUAUUACUAUUGACUGGUAGGACAAACGCGAUAUAGGUUCUUCCUUUAUUCUAACAUAAACGAUCUGCUAAAGCAAGUCUUGUGAUAUGGUUGACUCAAAAUCAGGAUCUUACAAGCAGGGAAACUACCUCGCAUUGGGGCCAGCAUAGUAUCCGGUAAGCCUUCUCGAAAGAAAAGGCCCCUAUGAAUACUAGUCCACUUGUAAUACGUAAUUCUUGGGUCCCUACUUCUCAAGAAAAGUCAACUAUCGCUUUCCCUGCUUUCAGGAACUUCCAACUAGUCACUUCUCGCUUUUGAUCUCUUCCGUUUCCCAAGUCCGGUAACCCGCUUUGCUUUCCUGUUUCCUUUUACGAAACCUUCAUCACUACUUCUCCUUCACUGAAACAUGCUUAAAAUGAGUUUAAACUCACGUUUAAACAAUCAAAUGUACAAUCUAUCUUCUUAUCCCGGCUCGAGGUAAGGAGCCAAUGGAGUUCGAGGUCAGGUGUUACAGACUUCUAGAACAGAGCACUGAAUACCAAGUAAAGGUGGAUACAGCAGAGAAUGCAGAUAUAUAAAGGCCGAAGCAAGUAGAUAUAGGUUAGUUGUUAGGGUGGCUAUGUCCACUCGAGAUAUAGCACAAGGUGAAGGUAGUCAGCAAAGGGAAGAGAAUUGCCACUACUUCUUGUGGGUGGGUAUUGCGAUGGAUAGCAACGCCUUGCAGCUUGUUUAAAGUUAUAAGAAGAAGAAAGAUUGAACUAUGCUAGAUUGACUCAAUAAGAGAGAGAAGGAUUGUAUAGAUGAUAUAUGCGGCUUGUAUGUAUCAAUUGACCUAGACAAGGGUUUAUGUUAGACGAAGCGGUUGGAUUGAGUGAAUAAAGAAAAAGUAUCAAGAAUUGCUGUUCUUCCACUGCUACAAGCUUCCAGUCGGAUAAAAAGAUAGGAAUAGGGAUGACCUUCCAUGCAGAUGAUCCAUUAUUUCCUUUUUCUCAUGACCUGAGGGCUUCUUGUUGUUAGCUUGGUUGCAUUCCUGUUUCCGAAACCUUAACUAGCUUGCUUUCCGUCUUGCCUUUGCCGGAGGCAUAGGUUGAGCUUUAGCAAUAGCAGACAGUUAGGGAACAUAGGAAACCCAAGAAAGGAGGAGCGAGCUAUGGUUUUGGUAGAUACCCUAACUAAUCUAUUGGGAAAAGCUGGACCCAUCUAAUAGCUAACUUUUCUUUGCUGAGCGGACGGGAAUAGCUUACUUCACGUAAGUACAGUAGCAGGUAUCCACCUUUUCCCUCAUAUAGGGAAGCAAGAAGUUCAUCUAACCCCUUAAAGAUGCGCCGUUCUUCAGUUCUUUAUAGCAAACUUAUGUAGGUAGGGCUGGUAGGAAAAGUGAGAAAUAGGCUCACGCAAUUGGAAGGACUUAUUCUUUUUCAGAAAAUGAAUACAGCUUUUCCCUGUUCCGUUCAGCUAUCCACCAGCUUUCCUAGAGUUGGGGUCAGUCAGGUAGGAUUCCCGGUGAUGAGUAGGAUUCCCUCUUCCUUCGCCUAGUAACGGAUACGUUCCAUGUCUCUUGCUUAGUGUAAUAUAGAUGAAAUGUUAUGCUUCUCGUAUGUGGCUUGAGGAAGAGAGAAUGGGUAGAUAACGUCCCUCUGUACCAUAUGUUGAUAUGUUGAUUGGAGACAGCUACACAAACUGCCUCUCUUGCAUUACGUGAUAGAAAUGAAAUGACAGCAGCCCUCGCUGAAUACCGUUCAAUAUCCGUAUUAGACAAAUCAAGACUUUGAGCGUAUCGGUAUCGAUAAGUUCCCGUCCCGAUAUCCCUGGGUUCCUUACUAUUAAUGGACAAGUUGGUAACAUUCAAUUGAGAGGACAAGUUGGUAGAUGCAUCCCACUCUCUUUGGGAAAAGCAGGAUUCUAGCUUGCUCCCUUAAGUCUAAGAAAAAAGAAAAGCCAUUCUCCUCCGAAAGUAAAAUGAGCAGACUAGACCAGUAACCAUAUCUUAUCGGUCAUCCUAUUGUUGAUGAAUCAAAGCGAGAUCAGAUUGCUCUUGAUGACGAGGGCCGAUGUUGAAGAGGCUUUCUAUUGAUCCACCUACUUUCAACUGAACAGUAGUUAGUUAAGGAGUGCCGGGUUUGCUUGAUAAGGGAUUCUUGUUUUGACUCUAGUGCACCAUCUAUCUCUGGAUCCGGGCUCGCCUCCACUAUCGUUCCGGGUUGAUGAAAGCUAGAACCUACUUCCUACCAUGCUGGCUUUCCCUUCUAGGCAUUUGUCCAACCCUCUGGUCAAUAUAUCUGAUCUUGGGCAAUCCUGUAAUGAAAUCCAUUGUAACUGUUUUUCCAAUGCACAAUUAGUAAUUGGUAAAGGCUCUAAUAACACAGGAAUCUUUAUAUCCAUUGUUCAGCUUCCAAGCGAAAGAACUACUCGAUUUGAUCAAUUGCUAUAGCUAUUGCGCACACAACCUUUCCUUGCUCUAGCUCUUCGCCAGCUGCCACUAUAAGGAAGUUUUCAGUUGGUUCUUUUAUUCUUUAGCCAGCGUAGCUAGUCUGAUUGGUUUCAUCCCUAGCUUGCAACAACUACUUAUCUGUUUCUUUAUCAUUAGCUUUAACAAGCUUCUUUCGCUUAUAAUAUUCUAAGUCUAUUUUUCCAAUUUGCCGUGGUAUGAGAGUGCUUUGGUCGACAGGAACAGUUAGGGAACAGGGAACACGGGCACGAUAAUGGAAGUUGAUCACAUAUUAUAUUACAAAGAAAAGGGUUGAUGCUGAGCUUAUUGAAAAACGGGGGCUUCUCACGAGCGAGCGGGACAAUUCCGGAUCAACAAGGCCAAGUAGCCAUUGCCCAUCUUAAGAGAUUAAGUGCUUCAUUUCGCUUAAAACCUACAUUCCCUCCAGAAGCACUCUUUCUUAUACAUUUUUUCGGUUGACUGAGUGCAUUUACUAGCAUUUUAUUAUCCUUUGAGAUAGGAAUCCAUCAAUAAGAUCAAGCUGGAAGGUCUGUCUUGAGUUCAGUUUCUGUCAACGAUGAAAGAAAGUAAAUGAAGUAUAUUCUCAAAUCAAGUCAACAAGUCAAUAUGUAUCAACAAUCUAAGAAAAAGAAGAAGGCAACCACCACCGAGAACUGACUCCACAACCGAGAAGCGUGUCAGCCUUCCUUAUUCAAUCAACUCUAAUUUAGUACUAGUACGAUCAAGAAAAGUAAGAAGUUGAACCAGAGUCACUAUUAUUAUUAGUAGUAUAGUCAGUUGUAUAUGUACCUGCACGAAUCUUUCAAGUAAGUCAUUAGCCAUAAAGUCCAAAUAGAGUAAGGAGUAAGUGCAUCGACGUCUAAGGGUGUAGAUCACAUUGAUUUAAGAUUCUGCUUUGAAGAAGAGAUUCUUGUUCAAGAUGGUUGUUUUAGGCUGAGUGUUGAAGAAGCUACGAGUUUGCAAACAAGAAGGUAGAAAGCGGAAGUAUGAUCAAGACAAUCCUCCCUUCGUCUCCUCAACCAUAUGUAGGCUUUCGAUCGCCUUGACUUACCUUCGAUUCUUCUGGACCGCCGGACAGGUCAACCUUUGAGCAGGACUGAAGAGUUGGACUGGAAAGCAUACUUUAUGUGAUUCCGGAGGCGCCUCACCACAAAUGCCUUUCCGUGACCUUUACAAGCCUAUUUGUAAAAAACCUGGAAACUACUUCUCGUGAUGAGCUAUCUUAUUGGCGGCUAUUAGUGACGUAUACCGUGCAAAAAGCCUUUCCCGUUCAUAUGCCUACUUGACGACUUAUUCCUGUCCCAGCGAGGAACUACGGCAUGUUUCGAGCUAAAAUAAAAGCUCUACCACAACAAUGAAGAGGGGCCAUUGAUACCCACAUCCCCUGAGGAACUCAAGCAAGAUCAAAGUAUUUCUCACACUGUCUUGUCCAUCCUACUGGAUUAUCACCCUAAAAAAAAGUAGGAAAAUCCAUUUUGGGCCUGGAUAUAGUUAAGCUGAAAGACCUAUCAGAUUCAGUGGUUCACUUCUCCUUCUCCAGUUCCUUACUUAUGAAUUGGGUUCCAGAGUGAUGUGGUGCAGGGAUUGAAAAGGAUGGGGCUGCCUCAGUAAACACAAACCCAUGGGAGUACGUUAGAAAGA